UACGGAGGGGGCUAGCGUUGUUCGGAAUUACUGGGCGUAAAGCGCACGUAGGCGGCUUUGCAAGUUAGAGGUGAAAGCCCGGGGCUCAACUCCGGAAUUGCCUUUAAAACUGCAUCGCUAGAGUUGUGGAGAGGUAAGUGGAAUUCCGAGUGUAGAGGUGAAAUUCGUAGAUAUUCGGAAGAACACCAGUGGCGAAGGCGACUUACUGGACACAUACUGACGCUGAGGUGCGAAAGCGUGGGGAGCAAACAGG
RNAcentral lists this ribosomal RNA (253 nucleotides) under uncultured bacterium. Its description in RNAcentral is "partial 16S ribosomal RNA". It matches the Rfam family "Bacterial small subunit ribosomal RNA", at positions 524 to 776 of the family's 1533-position model. The record is from RNAcentral.